GCCGGGAUGGCGGAAUUGGCAGACGCGCUAGGUUCAGGGUCUAGUGUGCGUGCGCACGUGGGGGUUCGAGUCCCCCUCCCGGCACCA
Molecule: transfer RNA, 87 nt
Filed under: Deltaproteobacteria bacterium ADurb.Bin072
Lineage: Bacteria; Deltaproteobacteria
Also listed under: 3 other names
Description: tRNA-Ser
Rfam family: tRNA
About the family: Transfer RNA (tRNA) molecules are approximately 80 nucleotides in length. Their secondary structure includes four short double-helical elements and three loops (D, anti-codon, and T loops).
Source: RNAcentral